CGAACGAGACCUUUAGGGAUAAAUAGCGUCGCUAUGGCUGUGUCAAAUACAGUUACUGCCUCUGGGAGAAGGGCAUGUUCCCCUUUCAGAUGUCGACGGUGGCUGUAAUAGCUAUAGUUGGCUGCGGUAGCAAUAUCGUAUCAAGCUUCUUAUUCCGACUAUUGAUGUUCAAUCAAUGUAAGUUAAAGGCAAUAUCAGGUCUGUGAUGCCCUUAGAUGUUCUGGGGCCACACGCGUGUUACAAUGGUAUAGAUUAAAGGGUCUCCUUUUCUGUAGAGAGGGAGCAAUCUCUCUUGAAAGAAAUAUAUGCUUAAUAGGAAUGUUUGGCUAAUCCUUAUUGAAUCUAUUAAACCUUAUCUGGGAUAGAUGCUUGUAAUUAUUCUAUCUUCAACUUGGAAUACCUAGUAAGCGCAAUUCAACAAAUUGUGCUGAUUACGUCCUGCCUUGUACAC
Molecule: ribosomal RNA, 451 nt
Filed under: uncultured eukaryote
Lineage: Eukaryota
Description: partial 18S ribosomal RNA
Rfam family: Eukaryotic small subunit ribosomal RNA
Source: RNAcentral